This 492-nucleotide ribosomal RNA is filed under the name uncultured bacterium. RNAcentral's name for it is "bacterial SSU rRNA". It matches the Rfam family "Bacterial small subunit ribosomal RNA", at positions 29 to 514 of the family's 1533-position model. The record is from RNAcentral.
AUUGAACGCUGGCGGCGUGCUUAACACAUGCAAGUCGAUCGGUAACAGGUGUAGCAAUACAUGCUGACGAGAGGCGGACGGGUGAGUAAUGCUUGGGAAUCUGCCUAUUAGUGGGGGACAACCCGGGGAAACUCGGGCUAAUACCGCAUACGCUCUACGGAGGAAAGCCGGGGACCGCAAGGCCUGGCGCUAAUAGAUGAGCCCAAGUCGGAUUAGCUAGUUGGUAGGGAACGGCCUACCAAGGCGACAAUCCGUAGCUGGUCUGAGAGGACGACCAGCCACACCGGAACUGAGACACGGUCCGGACUCCUACGGGAGGCAGCAGUGGGGAAUAUUGGACAAGUGGGGCAACCCUGAUCCAGCGACGCCGCGUGGGUGAAGAAGGCCUGCGGGUUGUAAAGCCCUUUCGGUGGGGAAGAAAAGUCUCGACCUAAUACGUCGGGACCUUGACGUAACCCACUAAAGAAGCACCGGCUAACUCUGUGCCAGCAG